RNAcentral lists this ribosomal RNA (305 nucleotides) under uncultured bacterium. Its description in RNAcentral is "bacterial SSU rRNA". It matches the Rfam family "Bacterial small subunit ribosomal RNA", at positions 334 to 656 of the family's 1533-position model. The record is from RNAcentral.
GACCUACGGGGGGCAGCAGUGGGGAAUAUUGGGCAAUGGGCGCAAGCCUGACCCAGCAACGCCGCGUGAAGGAAGAAGGCUUUCGGGUUGUAAACUUCUUUUCUCAGGGACGAAGAAAGUGACGGUACCUGAGGAAUAAGCCACGGCUAACUACGUGCCAGCAGCCGCGGUAAUACGUAGGUGGCAAGCGUUAUCCGGAUUUAUUGGGUUUAAAGGGUGCGUAGGCGGAUUUUUAAGUCAGCGGUAAAAUGUCCGGGCUCAACCCGGGCCGGCCGUUGACACUGGGGAUCUUGAGUGGGCGAGAA